UAAGGAAUAUUGGACAAUGGAGGCAACUCUGAUCCAGCCAUGCCGCGUGAAGGAAUAAGGCCCUAUGGGUUGUAAACUUCUUUUAGACGGGACAAAACCCCUUUACGUGUAAAGGGUUGAUGGUACUGUCAGAAUAAGCAUCGGCUAACUUCGUGCCAGCAGCCGCGGUAAUACGGAGGGUGCGAGCGUUGUUCGGAAUUACUGGGCGUAAAGCGCGCGCAGGCGGUCUCUUAAGUCUGGUGUGAAAGCCCGGGGCUCACCCCCGGAAGGGCACUGGAGACUGGGAGGCUAGAGUACCGGAGAGGAAGGUGGAAUUCCUGGUGUAGCGGUGAAAUGCGUAGAUAUCAGGAGGAACACCGGUGGCGAAGGCGGCCUUCUGGACGGCUACUGACGCUGAGACGCGAAAGCGUGGGGAGCAAACA
RNAcentral lists this ribosomal RNA (422 nucleotides) under uncultured bacterium. RNAcentral's name for it is "bacterial SSU rRNA". It matches the Rfam family "Bacterial small subunit ribosomal RNA", at positions 355 to 774 of the family's 1533-position model. The record is from RNAcentral.